UACGGAGGGGGCGAGCGUUAUUCGGAAUUAUUGGGCGUAAAGGGCGCGUAGGCGGCUGAACAAGUCAAAGGUGAAAUCCCUCGGCUCAACUGAGGAACUGCCUUUGAAACUGUUCGGCUUGAGGCCGGGAGGGGGUAGCGGAAUUCCCAGUGUAGCGGUGAAAUGCGUAGAGAUCCGGAGGAACACCAGUGGCGAAAGCGGCCACCUGGACUGCACCUGACGCUGAAACGCGAAAGCUAGGGGAGCAAACGGG
RNAcentral lists this ribosomal RNA (253 nucleotides) under uncultured bacterium. RNAcentral's name for it is "partial 16S ribosomal RNA". It matches the Rfam family "Bacterial small subunit ribosomal RNA", at positions 524 to 776 of the family's 1533-position model. The record is from RNAcentral.